This 408-nucleotide ribosomal RNA is filed under the name uncultured bacterium. RNAcentral describes it as "partial 16S ribosomal RNA". It matches the Rfam family "Bacterial small subunit ribosomal RNA", at positions 29 to 526 of the family's 1533-position model. The record is from RNAcentral.
AGUGAACGCUGGCGGCGUGCCUAAUACAUGCAAGUCGAACGGAGUGGCGCACGGGUGAGUAAUAUAUAGCUAAUCUGCCCCUUGCUGGAGGAACACAGUUAGAAAUGACUGCUAAUACUCCAUAGCAAGGGAUGAGACUAUAUCGUAUCAGCUAGUCGGUGGGGUAACGGCCUACCGAGGCUAUGACGCGUACCUGGUCUGAGAGGAUGAUCAGUCAGAUGGGAACUUAUACAAGGUCCAAACUCCUACGGGAGGCAGCAGUAGGGAAUAUUGCGCAAGGGGGGAAGCACUGACGCAGCAACGCCGCGUGGAGGAUGACACUUUUCGGAGCGUAAACUCCGUUUGUUAGGGAAGCGGUGCCUGACGAAUAAGCACCGGCUAACUCCGUGCCAGCAGCCGCGGUAAUAC